CUGAGAUCAGAAGAGCCAGUUUAUAGAUCUGGGUGGAGCCAGCUGAUCCACCAAGUUCAAGAGAGAGUCUCAGGAACAAACAGCAAAGUUAUUUACAACUUUUAUCUUCUUCUGAUAGUAACUAUUUUGAUAAUGACAAUAAGUUAUCUGAAUGGUGCCUGCAACUUCUGUGACCAUUUUGCCAUGUUGGGACCAAGUGUGAAUGCAAAGUUUGCACAUAGAGGAGAACUGACCAAUCGGAGAAUGGAAAACUUCUUGAUCAUUGAUGACAGCAGUCAACCAGUGAAGCCAUCAAGCCUGGAGUUUUUCCUACUGCUGGAAUUCUUGUCAUUGCAGAAAAUCAAUGUUGUGUUCUGAUUUGGGGCAUUCUAGCUUGCAAAUAGAGGCAUCUUAGCUGACACCAAAU
This 406-nucleotide long non-coding RNA is filed under the name Homo sapiens (human). RNAcentral's name for it is "HSALNT0305634". The record is from RNAcentral. Lineage: Eukaryota; Metazoa; Chordata; Mammalia; Primates; Hominidae.